CGGAGGAAAAGAAACUAACAAGGAUUCCCCUAGUAACGGCGAGUGAAGAGGGAAGAGCCCAAGAUUGAAAGCUGGCGCCUUCGGCGUCCGCAUUGUAAUCUCAAGAAGUGUUUUCCGCUUCGGACCAUGCCUAAGUCCCUUGGAAAAGGGCAUCACAGAGGGUGAUAAUCCCGUACAUGGCAUGGAGCGCCCGAAGCUUUGUGAUACGCUUUCUAAGAGUCGAGUUGUUUGGGAAUGCAGCUCAAAAUGGGUGGUAAAUGCCAUCUAAGGCUAAAUAUUGGGGAGAGACCGAUAGCGAACAAGUACAGUGAUGGAAAGAUGAAAAGAACUUUGAAAAGAGAGUUAAACAGUACGUGAAAUUGCCAAAAGGGAAGGGUAGGAGGUCAGAGAUGCGUCGCAGGAUUCAGCCUUGCUUUUGCUUGGUGUUUUUCCUGCGUUGCAGGCCAACGUCGGUUUUGGGCACUGGAGAAGGGUAGGAGGAACGUGGCACCUCUCGGGGUGUGUUAUAGCCUCCUACUGGAUACAGCGACCGAGACCGAGGAACGCAGC
This 549-nucleotide ribosomal RNA is filed under the name Pseudozyma hubeiensis. RNAcentral's name for it is "partial large subunit ribosomal RNA". It matches the Rfam family "Eukaryotic large subunit ribosomal RNA", at positions 51 to 601 of the family's 3401-position model. Lineage: Eukaryota; Fungi; Basidiomycota; Ustilaginomycetes; Ustilaginales; Ustilaginaceae. The record is from RNAcentral.